RNAcentral lists this transfer RNA (58 nucleotides) under Partenskyella glossopodia. RNAcentral's name for it is "partial tRNA". Lineage: Eukaryota; Cercozoa; Chlorarachniophyceae. The record is from RNAcentral.
AUUAAUAAAACAGCAAAACAAUGUAAAAGUCGUUGGUUUUUCUGGCUUAAUCCUAAAA